This 73-nucleotide transfer RNA is filed under the name Marmota monax (woodchuck). RNAcentral's name for it is "tRNA.Ala". Lineage: Eukaryota; Metazoa; Chordata; Mammalia; Rodentia; Sciuridae. The record is from RNAcentral.
UGGGGUUGCAUCUCAGUGGUAGAGUACUUGCCUAGCGAGUGUGAGACCCUGGGUUUGAUCCCCAGAAUUGCAA